RNAcentral lists this ribosomal RNA (1373 nucleotides) under Iridomyrmex anceps. Its description in RNAcentral is "partial 28S ribosomal RNA". It matches the Rfam family "Eukaryotic large subunit ribosomal RNA", at positions 364 to 1413 of the family's 3401-position model. The record is from RNAcentral. Lineage: Eukaryota; Metazoa; Arthropoda; Insecta; Hymenoptera; Formicidae.
UUGAAAAGAACUUUGAAGAGAGAGUUCAAGAGUACGUGAAACCGUUCAGGGGUAAACCUAAGAAACCCAAAAGAUCGAACGGGGAGAUUCAUCGUCAGCGGCGCUGGCUUCGCGUCGGUGGGCGAUGUUCCGCGGAGCCCUUGCGGAUCCUACCGCGGACACGCUACCGUGCGUCGAUGUCCGGCGCUCGUCGUCGUGCACUUCUCCCCUAGUAGGACGUCGCGACCCGCUGGGUGUCGGUCUACGGCCCGGGUGCGGUGACUGUCGCGUCGCCGGUAAAACGGCACACGGCAAACCCUCGGUCGCCCGGCCGGCUGCCCGGCGGUACACGCAUGGUAUCAGGCCGCACUCUUCUCACGUGUGCGUCGGGACCGUCGCAAGCGCGCGCCACGGUACUCGGAGGUUACGGACCUAGCGCCGUCCCCGGUCCUGGCCCGCUGUUGGUCGUACGGAACUCCUUCGACAGGCCUGCAAACAAUAUACCGGUCGGCGACGCUACUGCUUUGGGUACUCUUAGGACCCGUCUUGAAACACGGACCAAGGAGUCUAACAUGUACGCGAGUCAUUGGGACUAGCGAGACCUAAAGGCGCAAUGAAAGUGAAGGUCGGCCCUGGUUGUCGACCGAGGGAGGAUGGGCCGCGUCGUGAUGCGGCUCCGCACUCCCGGGGCGUCUCGUUCUCAUUGCGAGAAGAGGCGCACCCAGAGCGUACACGUUGGGACCCGAAAGAUGGUGAACUAUGCCUGGUCAGGACGAAGUCAGGGGAAACCCUGAUGGAGGUCCGUAGCGAUUCUGACGUGCAAAUCGAUCGUCGGAACUGGGUAUAGGGGCGAAAGACUAAUCGAACCAUCUAGUAGCUGGUUCCCUCCGAAGUUUCCCUCAGGAUAGCUGGCACUCGGCCGUUCCGCCAGGAACGCGCGCGAGUCUCAUCUGGUAAAGCGAAUGAUUAGAGGCCUUGGGGCCGAAACGACCUCAACCUAUUCUCAAACUUUAAAUGGGUGAGAUCUCUGGCUUUCUUGAAUUAUGAAGCCACGAGCAUCUCGGAUCAGAGUGCCAAGUGGGCCAUUUUUGGUAAGCAGAACUGGCGCUGUGGGAUGAACCAAACGCAGAGUUAAGGCGCCCAACUCGACGCUCAUGGGACACCAUGAAAGGCGUUGGUUGCUUAAGACAGCAGGACGGUGGCCAUGGAAGUCGGAAUCCGCUAAGGAGUGUGUAACAACUCACCUGCCGAAGCAACUAGCCCUGAAAAUGGAUGGCGCUGAAGCGUCGAGCCUAUACUCUGCCGUCAGCGGCAAGUGGGGCGGCCGCGCGCAAGCGCGCCGUCACGAAGCCCUGACGAGUAGGAGGGUCGCGGCGGUGUGCGCAGAAGGGUCU